CCCGCUGAACUUAAGCAUAUCAAUAAGAGGAGGAAAAGAAAUCAUAUGAGAUUUCCUUAGUAGCUGCGAGUGAACUGGAAAGAAGCCUAUUGCCAAUUCUUAUGUUUUGUACAAUAAGAGAUGAGGUGUAAAGGUGUUUUGUGUUUAACAGACGUACAGCUUAAUUAUUAUUGAGUGAGUGCUCUGAGAAGGUGAAAAGCCUGUGUGGUUGUGUCAGUCUGUUGAACCGGAACGCUAAAGAGUCUAGUUGUUUGAGAGUACAACUUAAAGUUGGUGGUAAAUUUCAUCAAAGGCUAAAUAUAUGAGGGGACUAAUAGCGAACAAGUACCAUGAGGGAAAGUUGAAAAGAACUCUGACGAGAGAGUUCAACAGUACGUGAAACCAUAAUGAGUAAAACAGAUAACUGUGUUAUUAAUGUGGUGCGCUCUUCAACAGUAUAUUUGGUGUUGCGAUGCUUCGAGAGUAAGCUGUUUAUUCAGUGAAUUGCUCGUCGUUAGCAUAGCCAAAGGUUCUGUGAUCUGGUGCGUACUCGAUCAUUGAGAAACCAUAUUGUCGCGGUAUCGGUGUACGAGAGCCCGCACUAUGUGCGCAGUUGUACGCUGGACGUAGCUGACGGUGUGGUUUGGCUGUGUGACAGCUGUGGGGUGCGUUUGCUGUAUGCGGCUGUUGUAUCUGCGAAUCGGUUUAUUCCUUUUCGCGGUGAGCAUGUUGCAAAAGGCAAGUGCCUCGCCAUCAAUGGUUAAACAUUAGUUAUUUGACCCGUCUUGAAACACGG
Molecule: ribosomal RNA, 775 nt
Filed under: uncultured fungus
Lineage: Eukaryota; Fungi
Description: eukaryotic LSU rRNA
Rfam family: Eukaryotic large subunit ribosomal RNA
Source: RNAcentral